AAUGAACGCUGGCGGCGCGCCUAAUACAUGCAAGUCGAGCGAGAAGACGUAGCAAUACGUUUGUAAAGCGGCGAACGGGUGAGGAAUACAUGGGUAACUUACCCUCGAGUGGGGAAUAACUAGCCGAAAGGUUAGCUAAUACCGCGUACGCUCCUUGGACUUCGGUUCAGGGAGGAAAGCGAUACCGUGGGUAUCGCGCUCUUGGUUGGGCUCAUGUCCUAUCAGCUUGUUGGUGAGGAACGGCUCACCAAGGCUUCGACGGGUAGCUGGUCUGAGAGGACGAUCAGCCACACUGGCACUGCGACACGGGCCAGACUCCUACGGGAGGCAGCAGUGGGGAAUCUUGCGCAAUGGGCGAAAGCCUGACGCAGCGACGCCGCGUGAGGGAUGACGGCCU
Molecule: ribosomal RNA, 397 nt
Filed under: uncultured bacterium
Lineage: Bacteria
Description: bacterial SSU rRNA
Rfam family: Bacterial small subunit ribosomal RNA
Source: RNAcentral